This 479-nucleotide long non-coding RNA is filed under the name Gallus gallus (chicken). The record is from RNAcentral. Lineage: Eukaryota; Metazoa; Chordata; Aves; Galliformes; Phasianidae.
AGCGGGGCAAAGGCCUCCUUGCCCAGCCCGACCCCCUCUGCGUCCUUCUUGCCCUGCUCCGGCUCUUUCCUCCUCCCUUCCACUUUGUCCUUCUCCAUGCCCCGUGCGCCAAACAGACCCUCACUGGGGCCGUCCCCUGGGGAUGCUCCAUCCUUGGCUUUCUCCGGGCUGUGCCUCUCCUUGCCCCGCUCGUCGGUGCACCGUGGGCUGCCACGGGGUGAUGUGUCCUCCCUACCGGGGCUGCCGCCCACUGGCCGCUCCUCGGACACCUUCUCCACCUCCGCAUCACUGUCAGCCCCCGGCUUCUCCUCUCUGCCACUGCCCUUCAGGCGCAGGGGGCUGGGGAGGGGGCCCACGGGGGAGUGCAGAGCGUCGCGCACCGCCGAUGGUUCGCAGGAAGACGCGUCCGAUUCGCCGCCGUCUCGAUCGGGUUUGCAGGGCUCCUCGUACAUCCGCAGUGACGGCAGCGAGAGCUGCUU